AACGAACGCUGGCGGCAUGCUUAACACAUGCAAGUCGAACGGAAAGUUCCUGCCUAUGUGCGCUGCUCGAGUGGCGAACGGGUAAGUAACACGUGAGUAACCUGUCCUUGACUGUAGGUUAACCUCAUGAAACUGGGGCUAAUACCGGCUAGGAUUUCUUGCUGCAUGGUGGGGGCUGGAUAGUUUCGGCGGUUGGGGAUGUACUCGCGGCUCAUGAGCUCGUUGGUGGGGUAGUGGCUUACCAAGGCUUUGACGGGUAGCCGGCCUGGGAGGGUGACCGGCCACAUUGGGACUGAGAUACGGCCCAGACUCCUACGGGAGGCAACAGUGGAGAAUAUUGCAUAAUGGGCGGAAGCCUGGUGCAGCCACGCCGUGUGCGGGAUGACGGCCUUCGGGUUGUAAACCGAUUUCGCCUGUGACGAAGCGUUAGUGACGGUAAUGGGUAAAGAAGCACCGGCUAACUACGUG
RNAcentral lists this ribosomal RNA (468 nucleotides) under uncultured bacterium. RNAcentral describes it as "partial 16S ribosomal RNA". It matches the Rfam family "Bacterial small subunit ribosomal RNA", at positions 29 to 507 of the family's 1533-position model. The record is from RNAcentral.